UGUCUCUCUGUUUUCCUAUCUCUGCUCUACCAUCUACAGUGUGGGCCUCAUUCUAAGUCUGACUUCCCUAAUGCUCAGAAGAUGGCUAUGUUGAGUCCACAAACUUUUGAAUUCAGAAACAAGAUUGAGUUGAUUUCAGAAGCUCUCCCAGAAGAUCAAGAAAGAACUUUCCAGGAUCUCCAGGAACCUGAAUUGAGUCAUACGCCAAAGUGAGUUUCAUGCUCUUUGGCAAAACAAUCAUUGGCAGGAUAGAUGAAAGUAGCUUAGAAGUGACCAAUAUGUCAAGGUCCCAUGAGAAGACUGAAAAAAAGAGAAGAAAGAGGAAAGAAAAGAAUGACAAGAAAGAGAAAGAAAGAAACCAAUAUGCUCUUUGUUCUUUGCUUUUGCUUCCUCAAGCUUUUCUCUGUCUACAAAGCCAACCUCUCCUGCUCAGCUCAUCAGAACAUUCACUCCACUUUCUGGAAUGAAGUGUUGCCUGAUCCUAGAGUCGCAAUAAAGCCAACUGAGA
This 508-nucleotide long non-coding RNA is filed under the name Homo sapiens (human). Its description in RNAcentral is "PREDICTED lncRNA (TCONS_00079851)". Lineage: Eukaryota; Metazoa; Chordata; Mammalia; Primates; Hominidae. The record is from RNAcentral.